This 645-nucleotide ribosomal RNA is filed under the name Lophocochlias minutissimus. RNAcentral's name for it is "partial 12S rRNA". Lineage: Eukaryota; Metazoa; Mollusca; Gastropoda; Littorinimorpha; Tornidae. The record is from RNAcentral.
GUGCCAGGCCCAUCGCGGUUAUACCAUGGGAGGGUUAGGAGUAUUAAAAUAACCCUAUAACGUAAUUACAAAAAUACCCUGCGUAUGAAUACAGAAGAAAGUUUCGGUAGAAUUAAUAAAUUAUUUUGGAUUUGACUAAGGGCGAGAGUAUAUUUCGUUUUGUAAAGCUCAAGAUAGAAACCAGGAUUAGAUACCCUGCUAUUCUCGAGAAGAGUUGCGGUUUGGGGAUAAGACAUUUAAAUUUAUCAAAAGUAAGUUACAACAAUCCAAAAAGCUUGGCGGCAAAAGUUUAUAAUUGGGGGAGCCUGUUCCCGUGACACGAAAUUACACGAAAAACUUGCAAGUGAUUAGUCUGUUCUUAUAUCUUCGUCUUAAGGAUAACUUUCAGAGAGAAAAUUUAUCCACCAUCGAAGCAUAUCGUGGAUUACAGAUCUAGAUGAGGCAUUCACUUUGUUAGGGGUGGGCUACGUUAAGCUGAUUUCUUUAGGACAAGAGACUUGAAAAGAUCUAUAAAAGAGGACUCAGAAGUAAGUUUAAAAAAUUAAAUAUAAUGAACUGAUUUUUAAGUAUUUCCUUUUGUGCACAAAUCGCCCGUCACUCCCUUUGUUAAAAGGGGAUAAGUCGUAACAUAGUAAGGGGUAACUA